RNAcentral lists this transfer RNA (88 nucleotides) under Candidatus Omnitrophota bacterium. RNAcentral's name for it is "Candidatus Omnitrophica bacterium tRNA-Ser". It matches the Rfam family "tRNA". Rfam says of the family: Transfer RNA (tRNA) molecules are approximately 80 nucleotides in length. Their secondary structure includes four short double-helical elements and three loops (D, anti-codon, and T loops). Lineage: Bacteria; Pseudomonadati; Candidatus Omnitrophota. The record is from RNAcentral.
GGAAGGAUGGGAGAGCGGUUGAAUCCAGACGCCUCGAAAGCGUCCAGGCCGUAAGGUCUCGCAGGUUCGAAUCCUGCUCCUUCCGCCA